Molecule: ribosomal RNA, 491 nt
Filed under: uncultured bacterium
Lineage: Bacteria
Description: partial 16S ribosomal RNA
Rfam family: Bacterial small subunit ribosomal RNA
Source: RNAcentral
AGUGAACGCUGGCGGUAGGCCUAACACAUGCAAGUCGAACGGCAGCACAGUAAGAGCUUGCUCUUACGGGUGGCGAGUGGCGGACGGGUGAGGAAUACAUCGGAAUCUACUUUUUCGUGGGGGAUAACGUAGGGAAACUUACGCUAAUACCGCAUACGACCUACGGGUGAAAGCAGGGGAUCUUCGGACCUUGCGCGAUUGAAUGAGCCGAUGUCGGAUUAGCUAGUUGGCGGGGUAAAGGCCCACCAAGGCGACGAACCGUAGCUGGUCUGAGAGGAUGAUCAGCCACACUGGAACUGAGACACGGUCCAGACUCCUACGGGAGGCAGCAGUGGGGAAUAUUGGACAAUGGGCGCAAGCCUGAUCCAGCCAUACCGCGUGGGUGAAGAAGGCCUUCGGGUUGUAAAGCCCUUUUGUUGGGAAAGAAAAGCAGCAGGUUAAUACCCCGCUGUUCUGACGGUACCCAAAGAAUAAGCACCGGCUAACUUCGU